UGUAUUCCAAACCUUGACAUACUAUGUCAGCUGGAUUAUAAAGCACCCAUAGCAUCUCCCAGGGGCCACAGAGAUUUGCCUCGCUGGAGUUCAUGUAAAUCAUUAUCAGAUUCAAAAGAAGACCAAUCUGAUUCUGAAACAACAGAAAUUUUUGUAUUUAAUGAUGAAAAAGCCAUGAUGGAUAAUACCAGUUUCCAAAUGCAGAAUAGCCAAAGCAUCAGUAAACAAGUUGCUUUUAGAGAAGAACUUUACCAUCAAACAGAAAGUCCAACAAAAACAAAGAUUAUUGAUUCUUCCAACACAAUAAAAGAGAAUAAUAUUGUGUCUUUGAGUAUUGAAGAUGAAAUAAAGAAGCCGAAUAUUAAAAUAAUAACGG
Long non-coding RNA from Bombina bombina (fire-bellied toad), 376 nucleotides. RefSeq lists it as uncharacterized. NCBI's taxonomy places the organism in Eukaryota, Metazoa, Chordata, Amphibia, Anura, Bombinatoridae. The transcript is spliced from 3 exons. The record is from RefSeq and is a predicted model, not a curated record.